RNAcentral lists this ribosomal RNA (484 nucleotides) under uncultured bacterium. RNAcentral describes it as "partial 16S ribosomal RNA". It matches the Rfam family "Bacterial small subunit ribosomal RNA", at positions 28 to 507 of the family's 1533-position model. The record is from RNAcentral.
AUUGAACGCUGGCGGCAUGCUUUACACAUGCAAGUCGAACGGCAGCGCGGGCUUCGGCCUGGCGGCGAGUGGCGAACGGGUGAGUAAUGCAUCGGAACGUGCCCAGUAGUGGGGGAUAGCCCGGCGAAAGCCGGAUUAAUACCGCAUACGACCUGAGGGUGAAAGCGGGGGACCGAAAGGCCUCGCGCUAUUGGAGCGGCCGAUGUCGGAUUAGCUAGUUGGUGGGGUAAAGGCUUACCAAGGCGACGAUCCGUAGCUGGUCUGAGAGGACGACCAGCCACACUGGGGCUGAGACACGGCCCAGACUCCUACGGGAGGCAGCAGUGGGGAAUUUUGGACAAUGGGGGCAACCCAGAUCCAGCCAUGCCGCGUGCGGGAAGAAGGCCUUCGGGUUGUAAACCGCUUUUGUUCGGGAAGAAAUCCUCUGGGCUAAUACCCCGGGGGGAUGACGGUACCGGAAGAAUAAGCACCGGCUAACUACGUG